RNAcentral lists this ribosomal RNA (488 nucleotides) under uncultured Verrucomicrobiota bacterium. RNAcentral's name for it is "bacterial SSU rRNA". It matches the Rfam family "Bacterial small subunit ribosomal RNA", at positions 355 to 835 of the family's 1533-position model. Lineage: Bacteria; Pseudomonadati; Verrucomicrobiota. The record is from RNAcentral.
UUUCGAAUCAUUCACAAUGGGCGAAAGCCUGAUGGUGCGACGCCGCGUGGGGGACGAAGGUCUUCGGAUUGUAAACCCCUGUCACCGGGGACAAAACGUCGUCUGUUAAUAGCAGGCGGCCUGAUUUAACCCGGAGAGGAAGCAGUGGCUAACUCUGUGCCAGCAGCCGCGGUAAUACAGAGACUGCAAGCGUUGUUCGGAUUCACUGGGCGUAAAGGGUGCGCAGGCGGCCGGGUGUGUCGGGUGUGAAAGCUCGAGGCUUAACCUCGAAACUGCGCCCGAAACUAUCCGGCUAGAGUACUGGAGAGGGAGGCGGAAUUCACGGUGUAGCAGUGAAAUGCGUAGAUAUCGUGAGGAACACCAAUGGCGAAGGCAGCCUCCUGGACAGUUACUGACGCUCAGGCACGAAAGCGUGGGAGCAAAAGGGAUUAGAUACCCCUGUAGUCCACGCCCUAAAACGGUGACAUACUAGCUGUUGGCGGAAUCGA